This 500-nucleotide ribosomal RNA is filed under the name uncultured bacterium. Its description in RNAcentral is "partial 16S ribosomal RNA". It matches the Rfam family "Bacterial small subunit ribosomal RNA", at positions 30 to 523 of the family's 1533-position model. The record is from RNAcentral.
AUUGAACGCUGGCGGAAUGCUUUACACAUGCAAGUCGAACGGCAGCACGGACUUCGGUCUGGUGGCGAGUGGCGAACGGGUGAGUAAUGUAUCGGAACGUGCCCAGUCGUGGGGGAUAACGUAGUGAAAAUUACGCUAAUACCGCAUACGAUCUAUGGAUGAAAGCGGGGGAUCGCAAGACCUCGCGCGAUUGGAGCGGCCGAUAUCAGAUUAGGUAGUUGGUGGGGUAAAGGCCCACCAAGCCAACGAUCUGUAGCUGGUCUGAGAGGACGACCGGCCGCACUGGAACUGGGACACGGUCCAGACUCCUACGGGAGGCAGCAGUGGGGAAUUUUGGACAAUGGGCGAAAGCCUGAUCCAGCCAUUCCGCGUGCAGGAUGAAGGCCCUCGGGUUGUAAACUGCUUUUGUACAGAACGAAAAGGUUUCUACUAAUACUAGGAGCUCAUGACGGUACUGUAAGAAUAAGCACCGGCUAACUACGUGCCAGCAGCCGCCGUAA